AGAGUUUGAUCCUGGCUCAGGACGAACGCUGGCGGCGUGCCUAACACAUGCAAGUCGAACGGAACCUAGAUGUUAGACUGUAGAUGUUAGAAAUUAGAACAAGGACAUGGUUGGAACUUUAAGAUUGAGCCUAAGGCUUGAGGGACCAUUGUCUUAGAUUUAAAAUCUAAAAUCUAAUGUCUAGAGUCUAACAUCUAGGCUUAGUGGCGGACGGGCGAGUAACGCGUGAGCAACCUGCCCUUAAGAGGGGGACAACGACUGGAAACGGUCGCUAAUACCGCAUGACAUAUCGGGAUGGCAUCAUCUUGAUAUCAAAGGAGAAAUCCGCUUAAGGAUGGGCUCGCGUCCGAUUAGCUAGUUGGUGGGGUAACGGCCCACCAAGGCGACGAUCGGUAGCCGAACUGAGAGGUUGAUCGGCCGCAUUGGGACUGAGACACGGCCCAGACUCCUACGGGAGGCAGCAGUGGGGGAUAUUGCACAGUGGAGGAAACUCUGAUGCAGCAACGCCGCGUGAGGGAAGAAGGUCUUCGGAUUGUAAACCUUAGUAGUCAGGGACGAAAAAAAAUGACGGUACCUGAAGAGUAAGCUCCGGCUAACUACGUGCCAGCAGCCGCGGUAAUACGUAGGGAGCGAGCGUUGUCCGGAUUUACUGGGUGUAAAGGGUGCGUAGGCGGGACUGCAAGUCAGGCGUGAAAUACCGGGGCUUAACUCCGGGGCUGCGCUUGAAACUGCGGUUCUUGAGUGAAGUAGAGGCAGGCGGAAUUCCUAGUGUAGCGGUGAAAUGCGUAGAUAUUAGGAGGAACACCAGUGGCGAAGGCGGCCUGCUGGGCUUUAACUGACGCUGAGGCACGAAAGCAUGGGGAGCAAACAGGAUUAGAUACCCUGGUAGUCCAUGCCGUAACGAUGAUUGCUAGGUGUGGGGGACUGACCCCUUCCGUGCCGGAGUUAACACAAUAAGCAAUCCACCUGGGGAGUACGACCGCAAGGUUGAAACUCAAAUGAAUUGAC
Molecule: ribosomal RNA, 1008 nt
Filed under: uncultured bacterium
Lineage: Bacteria
Description: bacterial SSU rRNA
Rfam family: Bacterial small subunit ribosomal RNA
Source: RNAcentral